RNAcentral lists this small RNA (4219 nucleotides) under Patescibacteria group bacterium. RNAcentral describes it as "23S ribosomal RNA". It matches the Rfam family "Bacterial large subunit ribosomal RNA". The record is from RNAcentral.
UGACAAGAAAAUUUAAGGGCGUAUGGUGGAUGCCUUGACUCUAAAAGGCGAUGAAGGACGUGGCAUGUCUGCGAUAAGCUUCGGUGAGGUGACUAGCAACCUUUGACCCGGAGAUCUCCGAAUGGGGAAACCUUAUCUGAUAGAUUCAGAUAGUCAAAUUUCUAUAAAGGGAAUUUGAAGCACACCUGGGGAAGUGAAACAUCUCAGUACCCAGAGGAAAAGAGACCAAUAGGAAUUUCCUUAGUAGCGGCGAGCGAAAUGGAAAGAGCCCAAACCUUGUAGCAUUUAUGUUAUAGGGGGUUGUAGGAUAAUAAAGUUUAUUCUUCGGAAUAGGAGAAGUUACAAAGUAUGAUAUUAGUUGAAUUAGCUGGGAAGCUAAACUCAAAAGGGUAAUAGUCCCGUAAGCGAAAAUAUCACACCUUCUUAUUUAUUACUCCUGAGUAGCUCAAGACACGAAUAGCUUGGGUGAAUCUGCCAGUACUAACUGGUAAGGCUAAAUACUUUUAGAGAUCGAUAGUGAACAAGUACCGUGAGGGAAAGGUGAAAAGAACCCCGGAGAGGGGAGUGAAAUAGAACUGAAACCAUAUGCUUACAAGGAGUUAGAGCGGUCGCUUGCGACCGUGAUAGCGUUCCUAUUGAAGAAUGAGCCAACGAGUCAAAGUGUGCAGCUGCCUAAAAGGAAAAACCUUGAAGGCCCAGCGAAAGCGAGUGUUAAUAGCGCGAAAUUAUAGUUGUAUGCUUUGGACCCGAAGCCAAGUGAUCUUGCCAUGAGCAGGGUGAAGGUGAUGGAAACAUCACUGGAGGCCCGAACCGGUUGGUCGUACGACUCCAUCGGAUGACUUGUGGUAAGCAGUGAAAAGCUAAUCGAACUUGGUAAUAGCUGGUUCUCUCCGAAAUAGCUUUAGGGUUAGCGUCUGAUGUUCCUGCUGGGGGUAGAGCACUGGAAGGAUCGAACAGGGGGAAACCUCGUCGAUCCUAUCAAACUCCGAAUACCAGUAGUCAAGAAUCAGGCAGUUAGACUGUGGGGGCUAAGCUCCAUUGGUCAAAAGGGAAACAGCCCAGACCUACAUUUAAGGUCCCUAAAUUCAUACUAAGUGCACUUAAGGAGGUGAAAUUUCUCAGACAAUGAGGAGGUUGGCUUAGAAGCAGCCAUCCUUUAAAGAUAGCGUAACAGCUCACUCAUUAAGAGAUUUUGCACCGCAGAUUAUCGGGGCUAAGUAUGGUACCGAAAAUUAGGAUUCGUAAAUUUCAUAGAGGAAAAAGUACAUUAGAUUUUUUGCUGAGUGAUCGUUCAGUGGCUAAAGUUGAGCCUAUGGUAGGACGAGAGAUCCGAAUCUCUUACGAGAGUUCGAACCUCUCUCACUCAGCCAAAAUAUAAAUUUUUUGAGGUUCCUGUUUUGGUCUUGUGUAAAGGCCCCCAGAGAGAAUCUGGUGAGUACAGUGAAAGUCUGUCAGGAACCGUCAAUUUGUUUUGAGGGGGAUUAACUCCAAUUGGUAGAGUCUUUGGCCUAACACGCCAUUGUGUUCCGAGUUCGAUUCUCGGAUCCCCCGAAAAAUAAGAGUUUGUUUUGAGUACUGGGGUAUAGCUCAGUUGGUAGAGCUGCUGACUUGUAAUCAGAAUGUCACGGGUUCGACUCCCGUUACCCCAGCCAAAACAAAUUAUGUUAAAUCAAUCUCUAAUACAGAGAUUGGUUGGACAAAUCUUCAAUUCGAAGAUUUGUCUCUUCUAUGAAAUUUACGAAUGGUAGGAGAGUAUUCUAUUCUGCGAUGAAGCCGAAGGCGUGAGCCACGGUGGAGCGUAUAGAAGCAAGAAUGUUGGCACGAGUAACCGCAAUACAGGUGAGAUCCCUGUACGCCGAAAGACUAAGGGUUCCUUCGCAAUGUUGAUCAGCGAAGGGUUAGUCGGUCCUAAGGAGAUGGUGAGAACCGCAUCCGAUGGACACAUGGUUAAUAUUCCAUGACUUCUUUAUUUUGCGAUGGGAGGACGGAGGAAACAAGCAAUAGCGCAUUAUCGGAUUUGCGUUGUUUAUUUCAAAGAGUGUAUCCUAGGAAAAUCCGGGAUAUGCCCAGCACUAUUUUUCUGAUAGAAAUUAUCUAUUUCGGAAAAAUAGUGCUGGGAAACUCUGGAGAUCGACAAAAUUCCUUUCUACGGAUUGGGAAAUUGUUGUGAAGAGCCUUCCAAGAAAAUUCUCUAAGCAUAAAAAUAAAGGAACCGUACCCUAAACCGACACAGGUAGUCAGGUCGAGAAGACCAAGGCGAACGAGUGAUUUUUCUCCAAGGAACUCGGCAAAAAAGCGAUCGUAACUUCGGAAUAAGAUCUGCCAUAACAUAGUUUACUAUGGGUUGGCCGCAGCGAAAGUAGCCCUGCCGACUGUUUAUCAAAAACACAGCUCUCUGCGAACACGUAAGUGGAUGUAUAGAGGGUGACGCCUGACCAAUGCCAGAAGGUUAAAUAUGGGGGGUAUGUUGAUUUAUCGACAUGCUGGACUAUAUAAGCCCUGGUGAAUGUCGGCCGUAACUAUAACGGUCCUAAGGUUGUGGAACUCAAAUUUAUUUGGGUUGCACAAAGACUAGGACGGUUAUAGCAAAUGAGCGUUCGUGCUCUAAAAAAAUAAAAGGAAUAAAGUUGCCUAUUUUAUAAAAUUAAUUUUAUAAUUUGUCUUUAAAUAUCUAGCCAUAUGCUGGAAAAUCCGUGUAUCUGACAAUACUCAUCAUGAUUUUAUUAUUGUGAUAGUGAAAAUUUGAUUAGUGCGGAUAAUCAGCAGGAAAUCCAUUUUUAAUGGAGAUCCUCAGAGACUAAACGCUAGAAUAAGUUUUUAACUUAUAAAUUAUAGUCCGAACUGCAUAGCGAUAUGCAGAGUCAAACAGAAAUGAUUUGUCCACUUUGAUUUUUCAAAGGAGUAACAAAAUGAGCGAAAUUCCUUGUCUGGUAAGUUCAGACGUGCACGAAUGGCGUAACGAGCGGGGCACUGUCUCGGAGAAUAGCUCGGUGAAAAUGCAAUACCGGUGAAGACGCCGGUUACCUGCAGCUAGACGAAAAGACCCCAGGAGCUUUACUAUAGCUUGGUAUUGGGUGUAUGUUUUGACUGCGUAGCAUAGGUGGGAGGCUUUGAAGGGAUCCUUUUGGGGAUCCUGGAGCCGUCAGUGAAAUACCACUCUUUUAAUGUAUACAUUCUAAUCUCUACGGCAAAAACGGAGAGAGACAGUGCCUGGCAGGUAGUUUUAGUGGGGCGCUAUCCUCCUAAAAAGUAACGGAGGAGUUUAAAGGUUGGCUAAGCGCGAAUGGAAACCGUGCUGAUAGUGUAAUGGCACAAGCCAGCUUAACUGCAAGACGUACGUGUCGAGCAGGUACGAAAGUAGAACAUAGUGAACCGAGGGCCCGAAUUAGACACGGCCCAAGAUUAUCGGAUAAAAGUUACCCUGGGGAUAACAGGCUAAUAACGCCUAAGCGUCCAUAGCGACGGCGUUGUUUGGCACCUCGAUGUCGGCUCAACUUAUCCUGGAGGUGGAGAAGCUUCCAAGGGUUUGGCUGUUCGCCAAUUAAAAAGUUACGCGAGCUGGGUUUAGACCGUUUAGAGAUUAAAUUAUUUUAAUUUUUAAACAAUCUAAACUCUGAACAUUGAAUUAUCGGAGAUAUUAAAAUAUCUCAUUAGGUCUUUUCGUUGACAAUAUAUAUAAACUUUGAAAACAACAUUCAAAGGUUGAGAUAGAACAAGAAACCAAUCUUACACGGCGGUCUUAAGCAUUCAUUUUAAGUGUUUAAAGAAAAAGCCAACUUAUAUCGGUGAAACCUUACUAAUUUUUUAGAAGGUAAUACCGAGGGAACAAAAAAUUUAUUUUUUGACCCGUAGAGACUAUACGUUGGACUUUGACCAUUGCGUUAAAGAAGAUUUAGUCCAUGCAAUUAGAAAUAAUUGAGUAUCAUGCGUGAGACAGGUUGGUCUCCUAUCUGCUGCAGGCGUCGAUUUUUGAGAAGAUUUGCUCCUAGUACGAGAGGACCGGAGUGAACUAACCCCUGGUGUAUCAGCUGUUCUGCCAAGAGCAUUGCUGAGUAGCUAUGUUGGGAAUGGAUAACCUCUGAAAGCAUCUAAGAGGGAAGCCAACUUCAAGAUUAGAAAUCAUUUGAGACCCCUGAGAGAUGAUCAGGUGAUAGGCUUUAGGUGUACGUGCAGUAAUGCACUUAGCCAAGAAGUACUAAUACGUCGAUUUCUUGUCAGA